CAGUAGCCGCGGGAAUACGAAGGGGGCUAGCGUUGCUCGGAAUGACUGGGCGUAAAGGGCGCGUAGGCGGCGAUCAAAGUCAGGCGUGAAAUUCCUGGGCUCAACCUGGGGGCUGCGUUUGAUACUUGAUUGCUAGAGUGGGGAAGAGGGUCGUGGAAUUCCCAGUGUAGAGGUGAAAUUCGUAGAUAUUGGGAAGAACACCGGUGGCGAAGGCGGCGACCUGGUCCUUGACUGACGCUGAGGUGCGAAAGCGUGGGGAGCAAACAGGAUUAGAGACCCGCGUAGUCCCUGUCUCUUAUAC
This 301-nucleotide ribosomal RNA is filed under the name uncultured bacterium. RNAcentral's name for it is "partial 16S ribosomal RNA". It matches the Rfam family "Bacterial small subunit ribosomal RNA", at positions 509 to 807 of the family's 1533-position model. The record is from RNAcentral.